GACGUAGGGGGCGAGCGUUGUCCGGAUUCAUUGGGCGUAAAGCGCGCGUAGGCGGCUGCGCAAGUCGGUUGUGAAAUCCCGGGGCUCAACCCCGGAACUGCGUCCGAUACUGCGUGGCUAGAGGUAGGUAGGGGAGAUCGGAAUUCCUGGUGUAGCGGUGAAAUGCGCAGAUAUCAGGAGGAACACCGGUGGCGAAGGCGGAUCUCUGGGCCUUACCUGACGCUGAGGAGCGAAAGCUGGGGGAGCAAACAGG
RNAcentral lists this ribosomal RNA (253 nucleotides) under uncultured bacterium. Its description in RNAcentral is "partial 16S ribosomal RNA". It matches the Rfam family "Bacterial small subunit ribosomal RNA", at positions 524 to 776 of the family's 1533-position model. The record is from RNAcentral.